ACUCCUCCUUUCGACUAGGGAGGAAAUGUGUGUUACGCCUAAUGAAACUGCUCAAAGUUCAGUCUUUUUUUUUAUCAGUGCUGAUAUACAAUGAUAAAGUUGAUAUGUUCUGUUGGAUAUGGUGGUGCCAUUACCAAUGACCUGGAAUUUCCAUGACUUAAAGCAAGACUAGAACAACACGUUUAGCUCUCUUCAAGCCCUCAUUUCCUGCAGCUGGGUGUCUAAACACCUUGUCUGAUCUUUAGGUAACGAUGGCCUUGGGCUCCCCAGCCUCGCUCUGUAAUCACUACGGGAUUCCUGAUCUUCCAAGACCACAUCUGCUGGUGUUCAUUAGAGACAUCUGUGCAUACAGAACUUGAGCCACCACACUUGGCUCUUUGAGAAAGUGUGAGCCACAGAACACAAUUCCUCCCUGGCUCUAGAAGUGCAUUUCCUGUAUUUGAAUGCAGAGGGGAGCACAGAGGAACUCAUCCUUGACCCUGUAAACAAAGCUCGCAUUGAAGCAUCUGAGCAAAGACAAGAGGUUGCUUUCAUACAAUACUUAUCAUAGAUGGCCAUGGACCAAAAUAGUGACUACUUUGAUUGCUUACCCACACAUGCCAAUAUUUGAAAGUCACCUUUGUUCAGCUAUAUAAAACAAACAUAUUUCCAAGUGAAAAACACUCAGAUAUGUUUUCACAGCUGUUUGCAUGCUUGUCCUUUAAAUACUGUGAACAGAUCCAAAUAAUAGUAUUCUGGUGUCAGAGGUUUUGUUUGUUUUUGUUGACAGGUCCUAUACAGUCUUCCCUGUAGCUGCUUAUGAAAUGUCAAACACUAUAACAUGACUCGACAUAAAAAAAUAACUGUUCAAAUCGGGUUUAUCCUCGGCGGCGUUGCGAUGGAGAAGAAGCCUGUUCUGUGGUAGAAGAGGUGGUAGAAAACAGGAGAACCCAGACAAAACUCUGCUUGUGAAAUUGCGCCCCUUAACCAUAGAAACUCUUUCCUGCAGUAUUGAGGGGUAAAAAAGAGGGCAUGGCCAUCCAUAUGUAAUGCUACAUGUACUGUACAGGUUAUGUCAUUACAGCUCAUUACAAUUUGUCUGUAGCUGCAAUUGCUGGCUUUAGUGUUUUGUCCGUUUAAAUAUGUAUGUAUAUGUCAAGAGUAGCAGAGAUACUUGUGUAGUGUAAAUACAUCCAUGUCUCGAUCUGUUUGGUGAGAUAAAAUGCAUCAAAGAAAGAUGAUUUGUUGCUCUGCUCUGAAGUCAGAAUAACAGCAAGUUAUUCUAUGCACAGUAUUUAAAAUAGACAAAAAGGUAACUAAUAUUAAGAUAUAUAAAAGAAUAUCUUAAAGUCAAAGACACCAGAAUUAAGAGAUUCAGGAUUAUGGUAUUAAAACUGCAUGUGGUACCACUGUGUUGCUGAUGUACCUAUUUUCGGGUACCUUAUUGUUACAACAAUGUCACAGACAUGGAAUGCUCUCUCUAGCCAAUCUAGCCAAUCUCGGGUACUGUAUCUGUGAGCUUAUGUAUUUGAAAGAGAGCAGUGAUUUCCUCUGAGUGUUUUAUGCUGCCCUGGGAGGAAACAGGAGUUCACCCGUGGGUAGGAUUUGGCAAGGGAGAAAAAUGAAAAAUAUAUUGGUAUGAAUUAAAAAAUUGUAUGUCUGCAGAAUAUGGUACAGAGCUGUUAUUAUUGAUUUUUUAAAGUGAAUCAGAAGUGUAUUUAUACAGUAUAUAUCAAACUAUAAUGACAGAUUGAUCUUAAUUGAUUAAGUGUACUUAUAUAUAUCAAACUAUAAUGACAGAUUGAUUGUAAUUGUGUCAGAAAGUAAUUUACAUGUAAUACAUUUAAUAAAUCAUAUUGACUAAUAAUAUCAUGAUCAAUUAAGCCUGUCAGCUGAGCUAUUUAUCAAUUUAUCAUGUAAUAAUGAUAUUUGCCUUUAAAUAAUUAUAUGAUAUUUUGUCAUUCAUGAAAAACUUUUAGUAGACUGAAAAAUGUUUGCAUACAGUAUAUUCAGAUCCUAUGAAAAUUUAUGUUUUCUCUGUGGCUUGUUUUCUGUCUAUUGGUCAAUUCAAAGCAAAGGCAUUUUUGACUGCCCUCGUUAAGCUAUGUAGCAUCAAUAAUGACAUUAUAAUAACAAUUACUGUUUAGAAAACUAAGUGAUUAUAAAAUCUUGAAUCAGACAUUUUAUGGAGAAAAAAUAAAUAUGGCAUGAUUAUAAGCAUCAGCAUCAGUUCAUCACUAGAACAUUAUUUAUUCAUUAUUUAUUCUCAAACAUAAAUAUGGCUUUAUCAAUAAAGACUCUUAUAAUGUGAAGUUACAUAUGUUGUGCAGUGGAUCCACCAGCUUUCUAAAAACAUUAAACCUCAUCUAGUCUUUGCAGCUGGAGAUACACUUCAUCCUUGCUAAGCAAAGCUCAUAGUUGUGUAGAGCAGAAGCCUGGUUAGCUUUCUGAGGUGCCAGCUGCUCCCCAAGUUGAGGUUCAUCAAUUCACCUACAUCCCCUUGAAGCUUCACAUCUUUCAUCUCCUUAUCAGAUACUAAGCUUUUUUGGUCCAGGCAUUUCUCUCUUGUCCACUUCUGUAGAAUCCGACUUUUGUAGCUGCUUUCCAUUACUCUCAGCAAGGCACACGUUUGACUUUGUCCAGGCUUCUGAAAGCACCACAUACUGUGCACCAGAUUCAUGGCCUUGGCAUUCCUGGCACAGUCUGCAAAGUAUGACCUUUACGUCUCUACAUUGAUGUAUAAGCUUGGCUGAAAGACACCUCAUAUUACAGCACUGACAAAAAUGUUGGGAUUGUCAGAGAAAAUAAGCUGAACUGUUCAGUUCUAAGUUUCACAGUGACGUUUUUGUCCAGAAAAAAAAAAACAGCAAAAAGUUGCUCAAAACAGCCAUCGGCAUGUGCUCUUCUCAAGUCUAUUCAUGAAUGUGCAAAUAACUAUAAUGACCCCUUUAAGAAAGUGUCAAAACAAUUUGUCACACUCGUAAUACUGGCUCUCAGGGGAGAAAUAAACAAAAUCACAUGUUUGGAUAUAGUAAGAACUUACCAUGCACUUAAAUGUGCUUAGUUUUAUAAAACAAGCGUGCCAGAAAACCGUCAAAAGUAAAUGUGUGCCUCACAUGUGUGUUAUACUAACAACUUCUGCUUUCAGUUCAUUAUUCCUGAAUGUGAUCCACCAAUACAGCAAAGACAAACUUUCUAUGUCAAAUUCCAUCAAAGGUACGCUCUUCCACACACCAAAGCUAAAUCAAACCCAAUGAGUGUAAUGACUGCCCCCCAAGCAUUUUCAGGGCAUGCACAAUAGAGUCAUUUGAUAGCAGUAAGGGGUGGUCAAAACUGACCUGCUGCUUACGAGGCCUGGACACACAUGCUGCAUGCCCAGAGGUCUGUCCACUCUCUGCAAUCAAAUAAUACACAAAAGGCAGCGGACAUGGUAACCAAGCAUCUCAGGGCAGGAGGAGCGGCCCUUGUCC
This is a long non-coding RNA of Tachysurus fulvidraco (yellow catfish), 3449 nucleotides long. RefSeq lists it as uncharacterized. The record is from RefSeq and is a predicted model, not a curated record. NCBI's taxonomy places the organism in Eukaryota, Metazoa, Chordata, Actinopteri, Siluriformes, Bagridae. The transcript is spliced from 3 exons.